This is a long non-coding RNA of Taeniopygia guttata (zebra finch), 6835 nucleotides long. NCBI's taxonomy places the organism in Eukaryota, Metazoa, Chordata, Aves, Passeriformes, Estrildidae. The record is from Ensembl.
AAAGCUUGGAAAAUUUGUUCUAACAUAAUAAAGAGAUACAAAGUCUAUGAGAUAAUCUGCAGUUGACACUCCUUCUUCAGAAACAGUCUUAUAUAUGGAGUUAUCAAAUGCACAUUCAACCAAGAGUUGUCUGUAGAAAAUUUCCAAGGAAGUAGUAUUUAACCCAGUAGCUUCUGCAGAAAUGUCACGCAGAUCGUGUUGGGUAAGGCCAAAAUUUAACUCAGUUGUUCAGAGCUUAGUAAGAGAUACAGAGCAUCCCAAAGCCAAGCUUUAAAUAUGCUCACUGUCAGGACAGUAUUGUGCCUUUUACUGAAGUCUAAACCAAACCCAUUCUAGACAGAACUCCCAUCCUAAUACAUGACAUUUAUACUUGCUGAAAAUCAGGACAUCACUAAGUUGCAGACAUUAAUGUCUUUGAUGCUAGAAUAUUCCUUAUUAUUCUUAUGUCUCACUGUACCCAAGUUGCACUGGGGUCCUCUAGAGCACCAAGGGUUUGGGGAGUUGCUAUAAAUAUGAACAAACCACUACCUUAGCUAUUCUCUUCUUUUUCCUCCCCAGUGACUACUGUGUGGAGGUGGAGGACUGGUUCAGAUUAGCUGCCAUUCUGUAGGUGAGAUAAAUUCCACUGCUGAUUAAGAAUGAGAAGAUGUAAAGAAUAGAACUUCAAAUACAUAUGGAGACAAAGACACUGGGACAAGGGCCAGGCUUCAGCCAGAGAUUCAAAGGGACGUGACAGUAAAAUUAUUAAUAUAUAAGAUUUUAGAAGUCUGGCUAGGGGGUUUAUUCUAGUUGUAAGAACAUCUGUGAUUGUUGUUAUCUCCCCAAUUUUGCUCUAAGAUAGCACUAGUGUAUUAUCUGAUGUAUUCACCAAGAGCCAUCUCUCCAAACCAUCAUGUUGUUUAUUGCUCAAUUCCUUCUUGGAAUAGCUGCUUAAUAAAUCCAUGCAUCCCAGAAAUUUAUAUAUUUUUGAAAUGAUAAGUUUUCAUUGCCAAUUUUUUUUUUUUAAAGAAAGGGGAGCAGAGGGUGAGGUGCUGGCUGGACAUUCUCUCACUCUGAUCAUAGUUACUAAAGCUUCUGUCUGACCCUCCUGAGCCAUACUUGUGUUGUGAUGCCCUUGGAGUACCCAGAUUCUCCGGCAGGAAUUUGUUUCAGGCUCUGAACCAGAGAGGAGUGGGAAGAACCAGGGCUGCCACUCUGCUACACUGCUCCCAUAUGUGUCUCUUCUGUUUGCAGUUGCCAUUUUGAUCCUUAGACAUCUUUGGUGAUUUUCACCGCACUCAUGGUCCGUGGGAAAGUUCCUCUUGAGAAGAAUCAAUAGUAUGCAGUCCUCCACACUGUGAACUGUUACCCUCCAGAGAAAAGGAUUAGAAAUAGUAUUGUCCUCAAGAGCUGAGAAAACUUGCAGAUUUUCCAUGUACAAUAAACAGUUUCUAUAAUUACCAGGAAAACAAAACAGAGGCAGAGCUGUGCAGCAGGGCCAGCCCAUCUCAUACGCACUGCUGUGAUAAUGAAAUCCAAACCCUGUGGAAUUGCAGCCACAUUAUUCUCACUUGCUUUAAAGGUCAGCUAAGAAGCUGAUUUCUCAAAUGGGCUCAUAGCUCUGAGAAAACGUAACACUAGUCAUUUCUUCCAACAAAUUGCAGUUGUCAGAGAAACUGGAUUAGUAAGCUCAUGGAGCUAAAAAUAGACACUAUGGGCUUGCCAGAGAGGGGUAAAAUCAGUGACAGAGGUGAAGUCACAUCAAAAUAUCAUAACAUCUGGAAAAAAAGCAAAAAAAAUGCUCAACUGAAAGCAAGUUAGCCAUAAAAUUACAUUAAAAAUAAUUGCAAUAAAAAGAAGAAGAAUGACAAGUUUUAGUAUUAAUUCUGUUUUACUCACCUUCUAAAUUCACCUUGCAGUUUCUGUUUUAUCUGCUGGAUCAGUUUGGCCACAGUCCCUUCAAAGUUAAGUACAACAAGUUAAGCACUGAUAGUCAUGUUAAAGCCAUUAUUUGAAUACUGGAAAAGAAGUUUUUGGCUUGACAUUUCCAUCUUCUUCGCAGGAGGGACUAAGAGAUAAUUUAUUGCUAAAUUUAUUCAACUGAAAAAUAAAAAACUAAACUCCAAAAACCCAAAUCUAAUAAUGGAGCUAUAGUGAAAGAAAAUUUCCAAACCUCAGUGAAUCUUUAGUAAAAAGUGGUAAUUAUUUUUCAUUGCCUCAAAUAUUUACAUUUUAAAGAAUUCUCUUCUGCGCCAUGAUUUUACAAGUUCAUAUUCCUUCUUGCUUGGAUUUAACAAACUAAACAAAAUAAACCACUUCUUUAUUCUUAGUUCUUUUUCAGUUACUUAUUUUCUGCACCAGGGCAAUUCCACCAUACUGUGUAUGACCCUGAAGGAACAGCAAUCCAAUGCAGAAAGGGAACUCAGCCUGUUUGGUCAAGGUGAAAAAUUCUUCCAGGUACAGGCUGAGUCUCAGCUGAAGACAGGGCUGGCAGUAGUUGCAUGCAGUUUCUAUUAUGACUUAAGUAAUUAAUUUUAUUAUAUAUUCACAAGCUGACCUAUGCAUGGCUCAGGAAUAACCUUCACCACUCUCUUGACAAACUCUUUCUCUAGUAUGUGUUUUUUUUUGCACACCUGUUAUAACAUCUCUGCAUUUCAAAUCUGAGGCACUGACAAGUGUAGGGUGUAAUUAAUAACUUAUGUCAGUGAAGCAAAUCACUGUGAAAAAUAUUUGUAAAGUGUUUAUGCUCAUUGUCUUUUGGAUAUGUUAUAAACUAGAGUUCUUUUUGCAAAGUUUUGUUCUUGCAAAAGUCUUCAUUGUAAAAGAGGUAAGAGUUAUCUUGAUUUUGGGAUUUAAUUAGCAUCAGUGCCUUUUAUCUGGUAUUCAGUGUGUCCCAUUAUUACCAGGAUGUUAGGGUUCAGUGCUGGAACAGAAAUGUCAGACCAAGCAGCACCAGCAGUUAUCUGCAUUUCAUGUCCUACGCAUUAUCUACGCAUUCCAUGGCAUACUUUGAAUUUUAUAGAACAUGAAAUGACUGCUUAAAUUUGUAGAAAUAUAGUUAGGGAUAAAUAAUACAAAAUAUAUGGACAUUGUCUGAUAGGUAUCUUGAGAUAUUUUGGAUAUAUUCUCACCUACCCUUGGGAUUACCCUAAACCAAAUCAUGCACCUUUAGCAUCCAUCCUUAUUUCAUUGAAAAGCAUGGCCAUCUUCAUCCCUUUACUUUUUAAACUUCAUUUUCUUUAAAGCCCAGAGAUUAAUGACACAAGUAUUUUCCAGCAAAGUCUUAUAAGACAACUGGGGUGGGGUUGGUUUUUUUUUUUGGUUUUUUUGUUUGUUUGUUUGUUUGUUUUGUUUGUUUUUGUUUGUUUUGUUGGUUUUUUUUCCCCUAAAUAUGGUAUGCUCCACUGCUAGGACUGACUACAUUCCUGCUUGAGAGAAGUUUGACCUUUUCUAGUUAGCUAAAAUUCUGCUAAAGUUCUUCUUUGCAGGAUCCUAUAGUGUUUUGAAGAGGCUGUGUGUACUCUGCUUGUGCAAGUUAUGGGUGCAACACAUAAAUAUUAAGGUGUUCUCAGAGCUCUACUGGAGAGUCCAACAAAUUUCACAGCCACAAAUAAUCCUCUCACUGUCUUUGCCACUUUGCUCUGCCUCUGUAGCCAACUUUAGAGAAGGAACUGAAUGCUACUAAAAAUAAUCUACUGCUUUAUGUUUAUAUAUUUCAGUGGGAUUAGCUUGUAAUAAGCAGAAAUUUUUGCAGUACAAGCUUGUAUUAUUGGCAUGAAAUUCACAGCCUGGGCCUACCAAGUUCAGUCUCUUCCCAAAGCCUUUGAGAACAAAUUGAACUUUGCAUGCAGUAUCUCACCUAGAAGAAGAGAUAACAAUUUUCCAGUUUUCUGUGACUGUGAUUCUGACUCUCCCUUCUAAUCAGGAGUCAUAACAUUCAAGAAAGUGUGAAUGGAAAGUCAUUUUAAAAUGUUUCAAUUGUUUAAACAAUUUUUCCAGGAACCAGCUGAAAUUGGUGAUUUAACUGGUGAUUCAUUCAGGCUCAUCUUCAUUUCCUCUGAAAGGAAUGCUAGAACACAAAUAACUUUUCUGCCUUAGAGUUGUAUCUUUCAACUUUUCCCUUUAAUUUCAGUGUUGCCAAAGUAAAAUCUGAGGGCUAAUUCCAAUUUAAGGUGGUCACAAACAUCUGUAGUAACAGACCAGAUAUAUGUGAAGAUAACUUGGAUUAUUGUAGGAAGACGGAUUUCACCUGAGUUCAUGAUGCUCUAUACUGGGAGUAGGAAUUUUAGGAAGGGUUAUGAACCACCCACUGGUGGUGGUUCAUUUUCUGAGAGCAGACCAAAGGGACAGAACUCAAUAGAGUGCAGUUUUAAUUUCAGUUUUAUGAAUGCUGAGAAUUGCUGCGUGUCUUGUUUCAAUUAUCUCUGUUCUGGAUGCUGGAUAAAAAUAUUUGGUCCUCUUAAAAUGUGAAGACUGACCACCUCAAAGCCUGCAGUCCUGUGGAAAUGGACAAAUAUCCAUCCCCUGGGUGAAAAUGCUUUUUUUGUAGUUCUGUAAUACUGUUUUAGUGUUGUCUUAUAGAGCUUAUCUGAAGAGACUUGCACAAGCAUUCUGCACUAAUAAGAUUACAACCUUGCACUAUCAACAAUAGUUGCUUAGUAUUAAAAUAAUCUUGGAUGCCAUUAAAGAGUACUAGAGCUCUAUCAGGGUUUAGAGCACUGAGGUGUUUGAGAACCUGAUCCUGCUUGUACAAAAUUUCUCAGAGACAAAGGAUAAUCUAAUUAAUAAGAGUAUUUCCAUAUUAGUAAUACACAGAGGAGGUAAGGCAGUGUCCCUAGAGAUUUCUGUCAACUUAAUGAUUAAGAGAUUAAUUUUGGUGCUCUUUAAAUCUGAACAUUAUUUUAAAACAUCAGCCUGUGAUGUUUUAACUGGGAAGGGAUGGGGUGGGUUAGAGUUUUACUGUCAGAUGGCAUGAACAGAAAAGCUCAGAAAGCAUUAUAAGCCAGGACCUUCCCACACUGAAAUCAAGGGAUUAUUUGCAAAAUUGCAUCUGAUUACUUGUCCUGUAACUAGCUGUUCAGCAAAGGAAUCCACCUGCCAACAGAAGCAGAGUCCAUACAAAGUACCACAUGCUGCAUUUCAGUUUUUUUAUUGGGAUUUGUUUGGUAGACUUAGUGGUCUGGAAGUUCCAGUAAGUACCUCUGGUUGAAAGUUGAUAUUUCAGUUAUGAUUGCUUCCCCAAACCAACUGAAUUUAUUACUAACCAAAGACUUACCUACUUGAAAAUAAAAACAAAAAACAAACCAACAAACCAGUAAAUUUGGUUCUGUCAUUUGUGUCUUUGACUGUGAGCAGUUGAAGUGCAUGAUGUAUGUACUAAUCAGGCCUGUGCUGUGGCAUUGAACAAGUUAUUCAGGGCUGCAGCACCAGUAUAACACAUUCAGAAUUCAGUAUUAAUCCCUCCAUGGGAACAAGAGUCUAUGUAAAAACUUGAUGUGCCAUAUGUGUAGGCCAUGGGAAAAUUGUGUGUGCAGUGAACUAUAUACGGUCUUAAAAGCUUUAACAUUUGUACUGCUCUUCCUAUUACAGAAUGUACGUCUUGAUAGCUGUUGAUCCUAUGAACUUCUGAAAAAAAUGUAAUCUAAAGUUUAUUCUUCUUGUCUUAAAAUUACUGUUUUGUGUCUAACUGUUUACACAGACCUGCAUACAGCAAAGGGUCUUUCUCUGUAUGUUGCUGGGAAAUGGAAAAGCAGAUGCUAUUUGUAAAUCUUGCAGGCUUAGAGAGAUCAGUGAAUGCCUUUCCUGAAUCUCCUCCUGAUAAGCCACUUCUAUUUACUAGCAAAUGCAAACAGUGCCAAUAGCCUGGGCCUUCUUUAGAGGAAACAAAACAGCCUUGUUCUGUUCCACUUCUAUUGAUACUUCUUAUUUUAAUCUUUUUGCCUCCUUUUGAGUAGACUUUGGUGAUAGAAUUCUUCCAAAGUGUAACUGAGGACAGUUUGCCUUUUUUACUCCUCUUUUUCAAAGCCACAGAAGGCCUCAAACAAGAAGAAAAAACUUUACAAAACUCAUGCAGGGAUGUUGUUAACAGGUAGCAGAAGGAUAAAAUGGCCUUCUCAGAGUACCCCAGACUAUCUUUUAACAGCGUGCCUGCACUGUAUUGUGACUUGACAUCUCGCUUUCAUAAUGUGACCUGCUGUUAAUGGUGUUUGUUGCAAUGAGGUCCUUUUAGUUUGUCCUAAAAGAUUUUACUUGUCACCAUAUUAGAAACAUAAUGUACACUCUAUAAGAAAAGCAAUAUACAAUAUAUUAUACAUCUUCUAUUUCAAUGCCUCCAGUUUUAGGCUAGUAUUCAUAUCAAUGUUUAUAAUCAAAAUACAAGUUUUCUUGUUCUUCACAGGACCGAGCAAAGUUUUGCCUUGUCUAAAUACUAACACUAAUGUUUCUAUUCAACAAAUACUCUUUUCUCAUGCUUCUAGUUUUUUUGUGGCAGGCUCCAUCCUUCUGAUUCCCCAUUAAUGCAUUUGAAAGGGAAAAGUAAUGAGCUAUUUCAGUGCAUGACCUUUGCACAGUACCUGAUUCAUAAAGAUAAAUAGAUCCAAAAUUUCAUUUAUGAGUUACUAGUGAUCAGCAAAACAACAAAAAUCCUUUGAAGUUCAGCUGAGGAAAUUCUGAAGUUCUUACAUUGCUUAUUCAGUUUUGCAGUUUCUUGAGUCAUUAUAAUGGAUAUAUUUGAUGAGGCUUUUGCCGUAGACACUGGCAUCUUCAUAGAAGUUAUUCUAAUUUCUGCUUCUAGUUAUAUGUGGAAGUGUACUGUAGUGAAGAAAUUAUCUAGAUUAAAAAAAAAAAAAAAGAAAAA